AGCGAACGCUGGCGGCAGGCUUAACACAUGCAAGUCGAGCGGGCGUAGCAAUACGUCAGCGGCAGACGGGUGAGUAACGCGUGGGAACGUACCUUUUGGUUCGGAACAACACAGGGAAACUUGUGCUAAUACCGGAUAAGCCCUUACGGGGAAAGAUUUAUCGCCGAAAGAUCGGCCCGCGUCUGAUUAGCUAGUUGGUGAGGUAACGGCUCACCAAGGCGACGAUCAGUAGCUGGUCGAGAGGAUGAUCAGCCACAUUGGGACUGAGACACGGCCCAAACUCCUACGGGAGGCAGCAGUGGGGAAUAUUGGACAAUGGGCGCAAGCCUGAUCCAGCCAUGCCGCGUGAGUGAUGAAGGCCCUAGGGUUGUAAAGCUCUUUUGUGCGGGAAGAUAAUGACGGUACCGCAAGAAUAAGCCCCGCUAACUUCGUGCCAGCAGCCGCCGUAAC
RNAcentral lists this ribosomal RNA (450 nucleotides) under uncultured bacterium. Its description in RNAcentral is "bacterial SSU rRNA". It matches the Rfam family "Bacterial small subunit ribosomal RNA", at positions 29 to 524 of the family's 1533-position model. The record is from RNAcentral.